This 449-nucleotide ribosomal RNA is filed under the name uncultured Anaerolineaceae bacterium. RNAcentral describes it as "bacterial SSU rRNA". It matches the Rfam family "Bacterial small subunit ribosomal RNA", at positions 918 to 1382 of the family's 1533-position model. The record is from RNAcentral. Lineage: Bacteria; Bacillati; Chloroflexota; Anaerolineae; Anaerolineales; Anaerolineaceae.
GGCCCGCACAAGCAGCGGUAGCGUGUGGUUAAUUCGAUGCUACACGAAGAACCUUACCAGGGUUUGACAUACAAGUAGUAGGAAGGAAACUGGACCGACCCUUCGGGGAGCUUGUACAGGUGCUGCAUGGCUGUCGUCAGCUCGUGUCGUGAGAUGUUCGGUUAAGUCCGCUAACGAGCGCAACCCUCGUCGUAUGUUAUAUGCGUCAUACGAGACUGCCGGUAAAAAGCCGGAGGAAGGUGAGGAUGAUGUCAAGUCAGCAUGACCUUUAUAUCCAGGGCUACACACACGCUACAAUGGUCUGUACAAUGGGUAGCCAAGCCGCGAGGCGGAGCCAAUCCUGAAAGCAGGCCUCAGUUCAGAUUGCAGUCUGCAACUCGACUGCAUGAAGCCGGAGUUGCUAGUAACCGCAGGUCAGCAAUACUGCGGUGAAUACGUUCCCGGGUCUU